GGGGGUGCGUAGGUCCCGGUGGGCUUCACAGUCUUCAAAACUGCUGUGCGUUACGCUGAGUGGCGCAGGUGGGUUCGACUCCCAUGCACCCUCG
Molecule: transfer RNA, 94 nt
Filed under: Chloroflexota bacterium
Lineage: Bacteria; Bacillati; Chloroflexota
Also listed under: 2 other names
Description: tRNA-Sec
Rfam family: Selenocysteine transfer RNA
Source: RNAcentral